AUUGAACGCUGGCGGCAGGCCUAACACAUGCAAGUCGAACGGUAGCACAGAAGAGCUUGCUCCUUGGGUGACGAGUGGCGGACGGGUGAGUACUGUCUGGGAAACUGCCCGAUGGAGGGGGAUAACUACUGGAAACGGUAGCUAAUACCGCAUAACGUCUUCGGACCAAAGUGGGGGACCUUCGGGCCUCACACCAUCGGAUGUGCCCAGAUGGGAUUAGCUAGUAGGUGGGGUAAUGGCUCACCUAGGCGACGAUCCCUAGCUGGUCUGAGAGGAUGACCGGCCACACUGGAACUGAGACACGGUCCAGACUCCUACGGGAGGCAGCAGUGGGGAAUAUUGCACAAUGGGCGCAAGCCUGAUGCAGCCAUGCCGCGUGUAUGAAGAAGGCCUUCGGGUUGUAAAGUACUUUCAGCGGGGAGGAAGGCGAUGUGGUUAAUAACCGCAUCGAUUGACGUUACCCGCAGAAGAAGCACCGGCUAACUCCGUGCCAGCCGCCGCCGUAA
RNAcentral lists this ribosomal RNA (506 nucleotides) under uncultured bacterium. RNAcentral describes it as "partial 16S ribosomal RNA". It matches the Rfam family "Bacterial small subunit ribosomal RNA", at positions 30 to 523 of the family's 1533-position model. The record is from RNAcentral.